UCCAUAUUAAAUCCUUGUUUGUAGAAGUGUAGUGUGGAAGCAAGCGGUUGUACUGAAUAUCGGCGCGGCUGCGGUUACCCGUGGCCUCGUCCCUGUAGCCCGGUCACGGUCCUGUUCAUAUUCACUGCAGCAGCUCUCUUCCUCAUGUGAUAUUGCUUCAUUAUUUUUUACACACCAGUCCUUAUUUCUUCUUUUUAAAUUAUUAUCAAUUUCUAAUUGUUCCAUCGAAUCAUUUCUGUUGUUUCCUUUAAAAUCCUUCAGAUUGUCAUCUCUAGGCUAGUUUUAUACACUACUCUACUUUUAUACACUAGGCUAGUUUUAUACACUACUCUAGUUUUAUACACUACUCUACUUUUAUACACUAGGCUAGUUUUAUACACUAGGCUAGUUUUAUACACUAGGCUAGUUUUAUACACUACUCUAGUUUUAUACACUAGGCUAGUUUUAUACACUAGGCUAGUUUUAUACACUACUCUACUUUUAUACACUAGGCUAGUUUUAUACACUACUCUAGUUUUAUACACUACUCUAGUUUUAUACACUAGGCUAGUUUUAUACACUAGGCUAGUUUUAUACAUUAGGCUAGUUUUAUACACUAGGCUAGUUUUAU
Ictalurus punctatus (channel catfish) is the source of this 610-nucleotide long non-coding RNA. Lineage: Eukaryota; Metazoa; Chordata; Actinopteri; Siluriformes; Ictaluridae. The record is from Ensembl.